Molecule: non-coding RNA, 837 nt
Organism: Pelobates cultripes (western spadefoot toad)
Lineage: Eukaryota; Metazoa; Chordata; Amphibia; Anura; Pelobatidae
Source: the annotation of a GenBank genome assembly
UUUUUCAGGAUGCAAAUCAAAUCUUACAUGGCUCACUAUUAAUGGAAUAUCAUAUUAUUUCCAUAACAUACCUACCAUUGCUAGUGCCAUGAUGUAUAUUCCUCCAAAAUUGCCACUAGACGAUUAUCAGUUACCCAUAGAAAAUAUAACUGCGUUGAUAAAAGCUAGAAAGAAUAUGUUCAAACAUCUUAGAUUACAAGAAAAGGACAUUACCCAUACACUAGUUGCCACCCACGUUCUCAAGACUGAACUAUUGAAAGUAAAUUUUCAAAUCCAGGAUGAUUUGGCUCAUCACUGGUAUGAUAUAUUCACAGGUUGGUCCCCUACAGGUGCUCAAAUUGUUAGAUCAUUCUUUUAUCUGUUGGUGAUUGUUGUAUUUGUAAUGCUACUUAUGAUUCUGUACAAUUGUUAUCUUACCUGUACCCAGAAAAAUAAGAUUCCAAGGUUGAUUACUACUGCCGAGGACAAACAACUGGAUACUCUCCUCCGUGUUAGGUCAUAGGGUAUCGUCCUGAGGGAACUGUGGUAAAGAACUAACUAAAGUCCUGCAGGGUUGACUAGCAAUCCUGAAUAUACCUCAUGGACUUCAUAUGUAUAUAGAUGUGAUCAAUAGAUUGAUCAAAGAGGGGAUUGAAGGGUUAAAACCCAACACAUUGUCUGUAUUCAUACUGACUCUAUUUUAUCACAAGACACUUUUAACUAAGUCAUUUCCUUGACCUUUCCCCUUGUGAUUCAAGAGGAUCUUGGGAUUCAGUAUUUGGCUCAAUACCCAUCAGUGUUUUGUGAUUUCCCAUGUGUUUGGAGUUUCCCAUCAUAUGCCUUUUGGAUUUGAAUAGG